Chlorocebus sabaeus (green monkey) is the source of this 643-nucleotide non-coding RNA. NCBI's taxonomy places the organism in Eukaryota, Metazoa, Chordata, Mammalia, Primates, Cercopithecidae. The record is from RefSeq and is a predicted model, not a curated record.
CUCGGGAGCUCAAGUGAUCUGCCUGUCUUGGCUUCCCAAGUGCUGGGAUUACAGACGAACACCAAAUUCUACAACUAUCUACACAAAGAAUGAUCCCCACAAGAACCAAACAUCAGGAAUCAGGUGAGCAGUCACAGUACCUGGUUCUAACUUCAUAUCACUGAAAGAGGCAAGGAAAAGGGCAGGAAAGACAGUCUUGAAUUGCCAACAACACUCCUGGCCAGUGCCCCCAGAAGUAGCUGGCCAUGUAGCAUGGAGACACAAUCUGUGCCCCCGGAGGGGAGAGAACACAGUGAUUGUGGGACUUUGCGUUGGCAUGCAGUGCUGCCAACACUGGGCAGAACUCAGCUGGCACCCAUGGAGGGAGCAUUUAAACAAGCCUUGGCCAGAAGGGAAUCACUCAUCCCAGCAGUCGGAACUUGAGAUUCAGCAAGCCUUGCCGCUGUGGGCUGAAGUGCUGUGGGAUCCGAAAUAAACUUGAAAGGCAGUCUAGGUUACAAGGACUGUAAAUCCUGGGCAAGUCCUGCUGCUGUGCUGGGCUGAGAGCCUGUGAACAUGGAGGACACACAACCUAGUGAGACACCAGAUGGCGCAGCUAAGGGACUGCUUGCAUCACCCCUCCCCCAACUCCAGGCAGCACAAC